This 26-nucleotide non-coding RNA is filed under the name Rattus norvegicus (Norway rat). Lineage: Eukaryota; Metazoa; Chordata; Mammalia; Rodentia; Muridae. The record is from RNAcentral.
GCAUAAUCUUUAAGGGUAGGGAAUGG